Molecule: long non-coding RNA, 112 nt
Organism: Populus euphratica (Euphrates poplar)
Lineage: Eukaryota; Viridiplantae; Streptophyta; Magnoliopsida; Malpighiales; Salicaceae
Exons: 2
Source: RefSeq, a predicted model, not a curated record
CUACAACAAUGCCAUAUGACAAUGCUGUUUGAGCUCUUGGAAAAAUAUGCGAGUUUCAUCGGGAUAGCAUAGAUGCAGCACGGAUAGUUCCAGCUUGGUUAGGCUGCUUGCC